RNAcentral lists this ribosomal RNA (24 nucleotides) under uncultured Agaricales. Its description in RNAcentral is "partial 28S ribosomal RNA". Lineage: Eukaryota; Fungi; Basidiomycota; Agaricomycetes; Agaricales. The record is from RNAcentral.
GACAACUCAUAACACCUUAACCUC